This 924-nucleotide ribosomal RNA is filed under the name uncultured bacterium. RNAcentral's name for it is "bacterial SSU rRNA". It matches the Rfam family "Bacterial small subunit ribosomal RNA", at positions 1 to 916 of the family's 1533-position model. RNAcentral also lists the same sequence under 1 other name. The record is from RNAcentral.
GGAUCCAGACUUUGAUUAUGGCUCAGGAUGAACGCUAGCUACAGGCUUAACACAUGCAGGUCGAGGGGAAACGAUAUUGGAAGCUUGCUUCCGAUAGGCGUCGACCGGCGCACGGGUGAGUAACGCGUAUCCAACCCGCCCACCACUUGGGGAUAACCUUGCGAAAGUAAGACUAAUACCCAAUGAUAUCUCUAGAAGACAUCUGAAAGGGAUUAAAGAUUUAUCGGUGAUGAAUGGGGAUGCGUCUGAUUAGCCUGUUGGCGGGGUAACGGCCCACCAAGGCGACGAUCAGUAGGGGUUCUGAGAGGAAGGUCCCCCACAUUGGAACUGAGACACGGUCCAAACUCCUACGGGAGGCAGCAGUGAGGAAUAUUGGUCAAUGGACGAGAGUCUGAACCAGCCAAGUAGCGUGCAGGAUGACGGCCCUAUGGGUCGUAAACUGCUUUUAUAAGGGAAUAAAGUGAGCUACGUGUAGCUUUUUGCAUGUACCUUAUGAAUAAGGACCGGCUAAUUCCGUGCCAGCAGCCGCGGUAAUACGGAAGGUCCGGGCGUUAUCCGGAUUUAUUGGGUUUAAAGGGAGCGUAGGCCGGAGAUUAAGCGUGUUGUGAAAUGUAGAUGCUCAACAUCUGCACUGCAGCGCGAACUGGUUUCCUUGAGUACGCACAAAGUGGGCGGAAUUCGUGGUGUAGCGGUGAAAUGCUUAGAUAUCACGAAGAACUCCGAUUGCGAAGGCAGCUCACUGGAGCGCAACUGACGCUGAAGCUCGAAAGUGCGGGUAUCGAACAGGAUUAGAUACCCUGGUAGUCCGCACGGUAAACGAUGGAUGCCCGCUGUUGGUCUGAAUAGGUCAGCGGCCAAGCGAAAGCAUUAAGCAUCCCACCUGGGGAGUACGCCGGCAACGGUGCAACUCAAAUGAAUUGACGG